UAGGAAAAUAAAAAAAUUAAAAUCAAUCCAGAUCAAGAAUAAGAAAAAAAAACACAAAUUAAAAUCAAACCCAACUCAUUCAUCUGCUCAAAUAACUACAAGACCUCAUCUCCAUUGGUGUUAUUUGCUUAGUUGUACAUCAUUAACAAGAAUCCAUAUUCUUGUUGGGCAUAUGAUCAAACACCCUACACCCAUGGCAAUUUUGCAAACAACAACACCAACCACAACCAUGGUAGUCUCAUCAAAGAUUUCCCUCCCAGCAACACCAACCACAAGCAUGGUAACAACAACCUCAAUGUUUCAACCACAGACCCAUCACCCUAACCCUCCUCCUUUCAAUCAAUUUUUUUCCAUAACCAUCAACCUCACCAACACAAUGUUACGAAUACAGAGACGAAGCAGACCUCACAGUUGCAGGAAAGAUCAUAACAACGGUGGCGAUGACCAAGGAGUAAGAGACUAAGAUGAUGACUGUUUGGCAAGCACAGGGGAGGAACGAAAAAUGGUGUUGUUGAGGGAUGAGAAAAGAUGGUGGUGGAGGAGUGGCCAGAGGUGAAGGAGCGAUGGGAAUCCAACAAGACGCUAGUGUAGGAGGGGGUGACAUUCGUGAAGUUGGAUUGUGACAAGAAAAGAAAAGAAAAACAUAUUUGAUGAACAAAAUCAAUUGAAUAACAGAUCUAUAAGGC
This 686-nucleotide long non-coding RNA is filed under the name Glycine max (soybean). Its description in RNAcentral is "long non-coding RNA (GMAX_LNC000119)". The record is from RNAcentral. Lineage: Eukaryota; Viridiplantae; Streptophyta; Magnoliopsida; Fabales; Fabaceae.